UGGGGAAUAUUGCACAAUGGGCGCAAGCCUGAUGCAGCCAUGCCGCGUGUAUGAAGAAGGCCUUCGGGUUGUAAAGUACUUUCAGCGGGGAGGAAGGGAGUAAAGUUAAUACCUUUGCUCAUUGACGUUACCCGCAGAAGAAGCACCGGCUAACUCCGUGCCAGCAGCCGCGGUAAUACGGAGGGUGCAAGCGUUAAUCGGAAUUACUGGGCGUAAAGCGCACGCAGGCGGUUUGUUAAGUCAGAUGUGAAAUCCCCGGGCUCAACCUGGGAACUGCAUCUGAUACUGGCAAGCUUGAGUCUCGUAGAGGGGGGUAGAAUUCCAGGUGUAGCGGUGAAAUGCGUAGAGAUCUGGAGGAAUACCGGUGGCGAAGGCGGCCUCCUGGACGAAGACUGACGCUCAGGUGCGAAAGCGUAGGGAGCAAACAGG
This 429-nucleotide ribosomal RNA is filed under the name Fusobacteriota bacterium. RNAcentral's name for it is "Fusobacteria bacterium partial 16S ribosomal RNA". It matches the Rfam family "Bacterial small subunit ribosomal RNA", at positions 355 to 776 of the family's 1533-position model. The record is from RNAcentral. Lineage: Bacteria; Fusobacteriati; Fusobacteriota.